RNAcentral lists this ribosomal RNA (253 nucleotides) under uncultured bacterium. RNAcentral's name for it is "partial 16S ribosomal RNA". It matches the Rfam family "Bacterial small subunit ribosomal RNA", at positions 524 to 776 of the family's 1533-position model. The record is from RNAcentral.
UACGAAGGGGGCUAGCGUUGUUCGGAAUCACUGGGCGUAAAGGGCGCGUAGGCGGCUUUUCAAGUCGGGGGUGAAAGCCUGUGGCUCAACCACAGAAUUGCCUUCGAUACUGUUAGGCUUGAGACCGGAAGAGGUGAGUGGAACUGCGAGUGUAGAGGUGAAAUUCGUAGAUAUUCGCAAGAACACCAGUGGCGAAGGCGGCUCACUGGUCCACAACUGACGCUGAGGAGCGAAAGCGUGGGGAGCGAACAGG